RNAcentral lists this ribosomal RNA (112 nucleotides) under Acanthosepion pharaonis. The record is from RNAcentral. Lineage: Eukaryota; Metazoa; Mollusca; Cephalopoda; Sepiida; Sepiidae.
UACGGUCAUAUUACGUUGAAACACUGAUUCCCGUACGAUCACCGAAGUUAAGCAACUUCGAGACUGGUCAGUACCUAGAUGGGUGACCGCUUGGGAAUACCAGGUGCUGUAA